Molecule: non-coding RNA, 46 nt
Filed under: Schistosoma mansoni
Lineage: Eukaryota; Metazoa; Platyhelminthes; Trematoda; Strigeidida; Schistosomatidae
Source: RNAcentral
GCACUGCUGAGGAGUUCCACAAUAAGACGAAACGGCCGUUUAGUAC